RNAcentral lists this ribosomal RNA (398 nucleotides) under uncultured bacterium. RNAcentral's name for it is "partial 16S ribosomal RNA". It matches the Rfam family "Bacterial small subunit ribosomal RNA", at positions 523 to 918 of the family's 1533-position model. The record is from RNAcentral.
AUACGUAGGGUGCGAGCGUUGUCCGGAAUUACUGGGCGUAAAGAGCUCGUAGGUGGUUUGUCGCGUCGUCUGUGAAAUUCCGGGGCUUAACUCCGGGCGUGCAGGCGAUACGGGCAUAACUUGAGUACUGUAGGGGAGACUGGAAUUCCUGGUGUAGCGGUGAAAUGAGCAGAUAUCAGGAGGAACACCGGUGGCGAAGGCGGGUCGCUGGGCAGUAACUGACGCUGAGGAGCGAAAGCAUGGGUAGCGAACAGGAUUAGAUACCCUGGUAGUCCAUGCCGUAAACGGUGGGCGCUAGGUGUAGGGGUCUUCCACGACUUCUGUGCCGUAGCUAACGCAUUAAGCGCCCCGCCUGGGGAGUACGGCCGCAAGGCUAAAACUCAAAUGAAUUGACGGGG